This 209-nucleotide long non-coding RNA is filed under the name Elaeis guineensis (African oil palm). RNAcentral describes it as "long non-coding RNA (EGUI_LNC068476)". Lineage: Eukaryota; Viridiplantae; Streptophyta; Magnoliopsida; Arecales; Arecaceae. The record is from RNAcentral.
AUCUUUUUUUUCCUUCAUAUGUAUUUUUUCAAUUACUGAUUGAGAUUUUUAUAUAUUGAUAUAAAAGUAAGGAUAGAAAACUUUAUUUAUAAAUGAUAGAAAAUAUUUAUCUAUAUUUGUAAAUAAACAAAGAAGAUAGAGCAUUCAUCGAAGCUUUUAUGGAGAUAAAAACAGGACUACCAUAUGGAUAAAGAGCAAAAGACCCAUGA